Molecule: ribosomal RNA, 450 nt
Filed under: Triticum aestivum (bread wheat)
Lineage: Eukaryota; Viridiplantae; Streptophyta; Magnoliopsida; Poales; Poaceae
Description: partial small subunit ribosomal RNA
Source: RNAcentral
AUGUCAGGGAAAGAACCAAAAACAAUAUUGACCGACCAAUGUCCUGCCAUUAUUAGUGCCAUUGACAAGGUUUUUACCAAUUCAAUACAUCGUCUAUGUGUGUGGCACAUGUAUCAGAAUGCUGCAAAACAUUUGAGUCAUGUUUUCCAAGGUUGAAAGACAUUUAAGAAAGAUUUUGGCAAGUGUGUUUAUGAUUUUGAAGAAGUUGAUGAUUUCUUAGCAGGUUGGAAUGAUAUGCUAGUGAAAUAUAAUUUGGAAGACAAUGACUGGCUACAUAGAUUAUUUCAGAACAAGGAGAAGUGGGCUUUGGUUUAUGGUCGGCAGACCUUUUGUGCGGAUAUGAAAUCUACGCAAAGAAGCGAGAGUAUGAAUGCACUAUUGAAGCGAUACUUGCAUGUUCGCCUUGAUUUAUUAGAUUUCUUCAAGCACUAUGAGAGGGCCGUGGAUGAU